RNAcentral lists this unclassified non-coding RNA (325 nucleotides) under Hevea brasiliensis (rubber tree). The record is from RNAcentral. Lineage: Eukaryota; Viridiplantae; Streptophyta; Magnoliopsida; Malpighiales; Euphorbiaceae.
AUAAUAGUAAAAACUUAGAGAUAAAAAGUUUAUAAUGGUAAAAGCUUAAGGACGAAGGUGUUUAUCAUUAAUGGCAAAAGUUGAAAAAAAAAAUAGAAAAAAGGAAAAAAUAGAAAAAGGGAUGAAAGUGUGUAAUGGAAUUAAAACUUAUAAACUAACUUUCUCAAAAUACAAGGAUCAAUUCAUUAAUUUCAUAAUAAUAUAGGAACUAAAUAGGAAAUUUUCCUUUUUAAUAAGCAGAAAGUCUUCUAUUUGUUUUCCAUACAGAUUACCAGAUGGAAUUUUAUUUUCUUUUGAGACUAAAAUCAAGAAAAAUCAGAUUUGG